RNAcentral lists this long non-coding RNA (545 nucleotides) under Lathyrus oleraceus (garden pea). Its description in RNAcentral is "Pisum sativum (pea) long non-coding RNA (PSAT_LNC018952)". Lineage: Eukaryota; Viridiplantae; Streptophyta; Magnoliopsida; Fabales; Fabaceae. The record is from RNAcentral.
UCUCAGUUUUUUUUGUUUGGUGGCUUGGGGGUCCAGCACCAAUUAGGGCUUAUGGCAUAAUUUUCUUGUGCUAUUUGCACCCUGUUUGACUCAUCAUCCCCUUUUCAUUUUAUUUUAUUUUAUUUUAUUCUUAAAUGCUUUGUCAUUUUAUUUUUUGAUUUCAAUUUUUUUCAUGCAUUUGUUAAUUUCAUUUUCUCACAUAUUAAAAAAUUCAAAAAAUAUUUUUAUUUUAUUUCAAUUAAUUAAUUAAUUGCAUUUUUUUCCUUUUUAUUAUUUUUUCUCUUUUGCUUUAUUUGUUUUAUUUUACUCUUGUAUUGAUAAUACAUCUCCCUUUAUUUUAUGCCAUUUAUUCUUACUCAUGCAUUGAUAGUACAUCCACAUCCCUUUUAUUAUUUCUUUUAUGUCUUACUUAUUUUUUUCUUCGUAUUUUCUUUUAUUUUCUUUUAUUGCUCACACAUUAUGUAUUGAUAGUGUAUCUCUCUCCCUUUUAUUAUUUACUUUAUUUGUUUUAUUUUCUUUAGCUUUGAUCAACUAUUAUAUUGAUA